CAGUCGCCGCGGUAAUACGUAGGUCCCGAGCGUUGUCCGGAUUUAUUGGGCGUAAAGCGAGCGCAGGCGGUUUGAUAAGUCUGAAGUUAAAGGCUGUGGCUCAACCAUAGUUCGCUUUGGAAACUGUCAAACUUGAGUGCAGAAGGGGAGAGUGGAAUUCCAUGUGUAGCGGUGAAAUGCGUAGAUAUAUGGAGGAACACCGGUGGCGAAAGCGGCUCUCUGGUCUGUAACUGACGCUGAGGCUCGAAAGCGUGGGGAGCGAACAGGAUUAGAUACCCGCGUAGUCCCUGUCUCUUAUACA
This 301-nucleotide ribosomal RNA is filed under the name uncultured bacterium. RNAcentral's name for it is "partial 16S ribosomal RNA". It matches the Rfam family "Bacterial small subunit ribosomal RNA", at positions 509 to 808 of the family's 1533-position model. The record is from RNAcentral.